CCUUAGUAGUGGCGAGCGAACGGGGAUUAGCCCUUAAGCUUCAUUGAUUUUAGCGGAACGCUCUGGAAAGUGCGGCCAUAGUGGGUGAUAGCCCCGUACGCGAAAGGAUCUUUGAAGUGAAAUCGAGUAGGACGGAGCACGAGAAACUUUGUCUGAACAUGGGGGGACCAUCCUCCAAGGCUAAAUACUACUGACUGACCGAUAGUGAACCAGUACCGUGAGGGAAAGGCGAAAAGAACCCCGGAGAGGGGAGUGAAAUAGAACCUGAAACCGUAUGCGUACAAGCAGUGGGAGCCUACUUGUUAGGUGACUGCGUACCUUUUGUAUAAUGGGUCAGCGACUUAUAUUCAGUGGCAAGCUUAACCGUAUAGGGUAGGCGUAGCGAAAGCGAGUCUUAAUAGGGCGUUUAGUCGCUGGGUAUAGACCCGAAACCGGGCGAUCUAUCCAUGAGCAGGUUGAAGGUUAGGUAACACUGACUGGAGGACCGAACCCACUCCCGUUGAAAAGGUAGGGGAUGACUUGUGGAUCGGAGUGAAAGGCUAAUCAAGCUCGGAGAUAGCUGGUUCUCCUCGAAAGCUAUUUAGGUAGCGCCUCAUGUAUCACUCUGGGGGGUAGAGCACUGUUUCGGCUAGGGGGUCAUCCCGACUUACCAAACCGAUGCAAACUCCGAAUACCCAGAAGUGCCGAGCAUGGGAGACACACGGCGGGUGCUAACGUCCGUCGUGAAAAGGGAAACAACCCAGACCGCCAGCUAAGGUCCCAAAGUUGUGGUUAAGUGGUAAACGAUGUGGGAAGGCUUAGACAGCUAGGAGGUUGGCUUAGAAGCAGCCACCCUUUAAAGAAAGCGUAAUAGCUCACUAGUCGAGUCGGCCUGCGCGGAAGAUGUAACGGGGCUCAAACCACACACCGAAGCUGCGGGUGUCACGUAAGUGACGCGGUAGAGGAGCGUUCUGUAAGCCUGUGAAGGUGAGUUGAGAAGCUUGCUGGAGGUAUCAGAAGUGCGAAUGCUGACAUGAGUAACGACAAUGGGUGUGAAAAACACCCACGCCGAAAGACCAAGGGUUCCUGCGCAACGUUAAUCGACGCAGGGUUAGUCGGUUCCUAAGGCGAGGCUGAAAAGCGUAGUCGAUGGGAAACAGGUUAAUAUUCCUGUACUUCUGGUUACUGCGAUGGAGGGACGGAGAAGGCUAGGCCAGCUUGGCGUUGGUUGUCCAAGUUUAAGGUGGUAGGCUGAAAUCUUAGGUAAAUCCGGGGUUUCAAGGCCGAGAGCUGAUGACGAGUCGUCUUUUAGAUGACGAAGUGGUUGAUGCCAUGCUUCCAAGAAAAGCUUCUAAGCUUCAGGUAACCAGGAACCGUACCCCAAACCGACACAGGUGGUCGGGUAGAGAAUACCAAGGCGCUUGAGAGAACUCGGGUGAAGGAACUAGGCAAAAUGGCACCGUAACUUCGGGAGAAGGUGCGCCGGCUAGGGUGAAGGAUUUACUCCGUAAGCUCUGGCUGGUCGAAGAUACCAGGCCGCUGCGACUGUUUAUUAAAAACACAGCACUCUGCAAACACGAAAGUGGACGUAUAGGGUGUGACGCCUGCCCGGUGCCGGAAGGUUAAUUGAUGGGGUUAGCGCAAGCGAAGCUCUUGAUCGAAGCCCCGGUAAACGGCGGCCGUAACUAUAACGGUCCUAAGGUAGCGAAAUUCCUUGUCGGGUAAGUUCCGACCUGCACGAAUGGCGUAACGAUGGCGGCGCUGUCUCCACCCGAGACUCAGUGAAAUUGAAAUCGCUGUGAAGAUGCAGUGUAUCCGCGGCUAGACGGAAAGACCCCGUGAACCUUUACUGUAGCUUUGCACUGGACUUUGAGCCUGCUUGUGUAGGAUAGGUGGGAGGCUUUGAAGCGUGGACGCCAGUUCGCGUGGAGCCAUCCUUGAAAUACCACCCUGGCAUGCUUGAGGUUCUAACUCUGGUCCGUAAUCCGGAUCGAGGACAGUGUAUGGUGGGCAGUUUGACUGGGGCGGUCUCCUCCUAAAGAGUAACGGAGGAGUACGAAGGUGCGCUCAGACCGGUCGGAAAUCGGUCGUAGAGUAUAAAGGCAAAAGCGCGCUUGACUGCGAGACAGACACGUCGAGCAGGUACGAAAGUAGGUCUUAGUGAUCCGGUGGUUCUGUAUGGAAGGGCCAUCGCUCAACGGAUAAAAGGUACUCCGGGGAUAACAGGCUGAUACCGCCCAAGAGUUCAUAUCGACGGCGGUGUUUGGCACCUCGAUGUCGGCUCAUCACAUCCUGGGGCUGAAGCCGGUCCCAAGGGUAUGGCUGUUCGCCAUUUAAAGUGGUACGCGAGCUGGGUUUAGAACGUCGUGAGACAGUUCGGUCCCUAUCUGCCGUGGACGUUUGAGAUUUGAGAGGGGCUGCUCCUAGUACGAGAGGACCGGAGUGGACGAACCUCUGGUGUUCCGGUUGUCACGCCAGUGGCAUUGCCGGGUAGCUAUGUUCGGAAAAGAUAACCGCUGAAAGCAUCUAAGCGGGAAACUUGCCUCAAGAUGAGAUCUCACUGGGAACUUGAUUCCCCUGAAGGGCCGUCGAAGACUACGACGUUGAUAGGCUGGGUGUGUAAGCGUUGUGAGGCGUUGAGCUAACCAGUACUAAUUGCCCGUGAGGCUUGACCAU
Molecule: ribosomal RNA, 2655 nt
Filed under: Pseudomonas aeruginosa
Lineage: Bacteria; Pseudomonadati; Pseudomonadota; Gammaproteobacteria; Pseudomonadales; Pseudomonadaceae
Description: partial 23S ribosomal RNA
Rfam family: Bacterial large subunit ribosomal RNA
Source: RNAcentral